AAUAAGGCACGCUACAUUCUUGACUGCUCUUGGACACUUCCAUGGAUGACUUCCAGACUCUGCCAUUGUUUGAUUUUGACCGCGAUCUGGCGGGAAAGGUUUUCCCCUGCAUCCUGUGUGCACUCGCGAUAUUUGGGCAUAACCGUAAACUUAACCAUCAUCAUCGCGAGAGAGGAUCAUUGAGACAAGAAAGACCGUUGGCGAAAGUUGGAGGAGCAAUUUGUGACUGCAAAAGUUCCUGUGGCGGCUGUCCGACCGCAAGAGUGUCCUGUCUAACCGUACCUGUGUCUGCAAUCCAACUUCAUCAGUGAGACGGCCGUGGCAUGGCUACUCCAGUGAAGCUCAGAAGCAUUUUAGGAGAAAACAGUUCCCAGAGAUUGAUCCUUCCAGAUGGGAUUCCAGAAGCUGUCACUGAACUCACAGCAAAUUAAGAGGCAGUGUGGAAUAGAAGGGGAAUUCAGGCUCCAAUUCAUGGAUGCUGAGUUUGGGAAUGAAUUCACCAACUUGCUGUCAACAUCAGAUGUCCAGGACAGAAGUUCCAUCAAGGUCAUCUUUACAUCAGUUGCACCUGCACAGCCUGUUGUCUCCCUGCCCCCUCCCUACUCAGCUGCUGCCACUUCCCGCUGUCUAAAUGACUCCUUAUCUCUCUCAUCUGGAAGCUCCGUCAAUACUGACAUACUGUCUUCUCCUGAGUCCACGUCAAGAUCAUCUGGAUGGCCCCCUGUCUUCAUUGUGCCCCGGUUCUCUUACGACACUGAACUACAGCUGGACAGGGCCAACGCUACUUUCAAAACGGACGGAACAUUGUUGAGUCCUGACAACAAACUUAAAUCUGCCAUUCUUGAUGGCUUAGCUGAGAAGAUUAUAGAGUACAAAGUCUACCUCUCUGACAGUGAGUUUGAGGAGGUAGCAAAAGCUCUUGUCUCAUCACAUCCAUGUUUGAAAGAACCCGGUUCUUUCACUGGAUAUGGCGGAUGGAAGACGAGCUUGAAAUAUAAACUUGCUAACUACCGAACAAAGCUUAGGCGGCUUGGAUGCCCCGAAGUUGUAGUAAAUGCCCUAAAACACAAAC
Long non-coding RNA from Gymnodraco acuticeps, 1072 nucleotides. RefSeq lists it as uncharacterized. The transcript has 3 exons. The record is from RefSeq and is a predicted model, not a curated record. Lineage: Eukaryota; Metazoa; Chordata; Actinopteri; Perciformes; Bathydraconidae.